Molecule: transfer RNA, 70 nt
Filed under: SAR202 cluster bacterium
Lineage: Bacteria; Bacillati; Chloroflexota; Dehalococcoidia
Description: tRNA-Ser
Source: RNAcentral
GACGAAGUGUCGAUGUUGACCUGCCCUGUCAAGGCAGAGAUCGCCGGUUCGAAUCCGGUCGGGGUCGCCA